UACGUAGGGUGCGAAGCGUUUGUCCGGAAUUAUUGGGCGUAAAGAGCUUGUAGGCGGUUUGUCGCGUCUGCUGUGAAAAUCCGGGGCUCAACCCCGGACUUGCAGUGGGGUACGGGCAGGCUAGAGUGUGGUAGGGGAGACUGGAAUUCCUGGUGUAGCGGUGGAAUGCGCAGAUAUCAGGAGGAACACCGAUGGCGAAGGCAGGUCUCUGGGCCACUACUGACGCUGAGAAGCGAAAGCAUGGGGGAGCGAACAGG
Molecule: ribosomal RNA, 257 nt
Filed under: uncultured bacterium
Lineage: Bacteria
Description: partial 16S ribosomal RNA
Rfam family: Bacterial small subunit ribosomal RNA
Source: RNAcentral